AGGGAAACCACUGUUCAAAGGAAAUGACCACCUGGAUCAGCUGAUGGAGAUCAUGAAAAUUACAGGGACGCCCGCAAAAGAGUUCACAGCCAAACUACAGUCUGAAGAUGCUAGAAACUACAUAGCAAAGUUACCAAAACUUAAAAAGAAAGAUCUUCGGACAUUGUUACCAAAUGUUAACCCACAAGG
Molecule: long non-coding RNA, 189 nt
Organism: Sinocyclocheilus rhinocerous
Lineage: Eukaryota; Metazoa; Chordata; Actinopteri; Cypriniformes; Cyprinidae
Exons: 3
Source: RefSeq, a predicted model, not a curated record